Molecule: long non-coding RNA, 1340 nt
Filed under: Panax ginseng (ginseng)
Lineage: Eukaryota; Viridiplantae; Streptophyta; Magnoliopsida; Apiales; Araliaceae
Description: long non-coding RNA (PGIN_LNC012872)
Source: RNAcentral
CGACACUCCAAACUUGACAGAAAUUGUCAAAUGGUCACUGAAUCAAAUCUUUCCAUAAUCUAUCAAAUCAUUCCAUAAACUGGAUCAAAUCUUUCCAUAAACUGACACGCCUUCUCUUCAACCGCAUCAAUUUGUCACCAACUAAAGACUAACAGUUGUAUGAAGUUAACAAAUGUAGUCAAUAAUUAACCAUCAAUAUAAAACAAACCAGUAUAAAAUACACUAAUAUUAUGUAGUAACCAUGGUAAUAUUACACAGUAAAUAAGUCAGCAUUAUAUACUAACCAAAUCCAAAUUAGACAGUAACCAACAUAUAUUUACUUAGUAUCGAUAACAUAAAACAUAUUUGACAUGCAUUUUAUAGCAAAAACAAACAAUAUAAAAAAUAUCAAUAUUAUAAAAAACAUCAAUAUGUACUUAAAGAUCCAACAGUUGCAGGAAGAUAACCAAUGUAUUUUAUAAGUAACCACUAAUAUAAAAAAUAUCAGUAAAAUAUACAUUUAAUGUAUAUAGCAACCAAAUAAACAUUAUACAGUAACCAAAUCAAUAAUAAACAGUAACCAAUUUCUAUGUUCUUAGUAACCAGAAUAUAAAAUAUAUUUUUACAUUCAUUUUGCAAUCAAAACAGUCAGUAUACUGACUUUGUGACCAAUCAAAGAGCAAAAAACUUAAGAAAUGUAAUCAAUAUACGAGUAUAUAGUAACCAUGUGGUAACCAAAUAAACAUUAUACAGUAACCAAAUCAAUAAUAAAUAUUAACCAAUUUAUAUGUACUUAGUAACCAGAAUAUAAAAUAGUAACCAAGACAACAUUAGACAAUAAUCAAGACAUCAUUAGAUAGUAACCAAGACAACAUUAGACAGUAACCAAGACAUCAUUAGACAAUAUAAUGUUAUACAGUAACCAAGACAACAUUAGAGAGUAACCAACAAUUGCAGGAAGGUAACCUUUGAUGAGUAACCAUUAAUAUAAAAAAAUCAGGAGAACUCAUUUAAAAAUUAUAAAGCCAUCAAAUAAACAUUAUUUAGCAAACAAAUACACAAUAAACAGUAACCAAUUUAUAUCUAUUUAGUAACCAUAAUAUAAAGUGUAUAAAAUAUAUCAAUGAAUCAACCAAUCGUUAUAGGAAUUUGUAGUAACCAUUUUAAAUGUGAAAAACUUAAGAAAGGUUAUCAAUAUAGGAAUUCGUAAAAAACAUAAGUAACUAUAUGCAUAUGAAUUUUAAACUCACAUACCUCAGUAUUCAGAUUUGUAUAGAAGUUGCUGCUAUUUUGUUACUGAACUUCAACAAUCACUGCAGUACGAUUGUUUUUGGUUACUGAACUUGAAGUUGAUGUUGAUU